GGCUCCGUAGCUCAGUGGAUUAGAGCAACGGUCUUCUAAACCGUAGGUCGCAGGUUCGAAUCCUGCCGGAGUCGCCA
This 77-nucleotide transfer RNA is filed under the name Rickettsiales bacterium TMED174. RNAcentral describes it as "tRNA-Arg". It matches the Rfam family "tRNA". From Rfam's summary of the family: Transfer RNA (tRNA) molecules are approximately 80 nucleotides in length. Lineage: Bacteria; Pseudomonadati; Pseudomonadota; Alphaproteobacteria; Rickettsiales. The record is from RNAcentral.